UACGUAGGGGGCAAGCGUUGUCCGGAUUCACUGGGUGUAAAGGGUGCGCAGGCGGGAGAGUAAGUCAGAGGUGAAAUCUCACAGCUUAACUGUGAAACUGCCUUUGAUACUGCUUUUCUUGAGUUCGGGAGAGGUUGAUGGAAUUCCAGGUGUAGCGGUGAAAUGCGUAGAUAUCUGGAAGAACACCAGUGGCGAAGGCGGUCAACUGGCCCGUAACUGACGCUCAGGCACGAAAGCGUGGGUAGCGAACAGG
Molecule: ribosomal RNA, 253 nt
Filed under: uncultured bacterium
Lineage: Bacteria
Description: partial 16S ribosomal RNA
Rfam family: Bacterial small subunit ribosomal RNA
Source: RNAcentral